AUUGAACGCUGGCGGCAGGCCUAACACAUGCAAGUCGAGCGGAUGAAGGGAGCUUGCUCCUGGAUUCAGCGGCGGACGGGUGAGUAAUGCCUAGGAAUCUGCCUGGUAGUGGGGGAUAACGUCCGGAAACGGGCGCUAAUACCGCGUACGUCCUGAGGGAGAAAGUGGGGGAUCUUCGGACCUCACGCUAUCAGAUGAGCCUAGGUCGGAUUAGCUAGUUGGUGGGGUAAAGGCCUACCAAGGCGACGAUCCGUAACUGGUCUGAGAGGAUGAUCAGUCACACUGGAACUGAGACACGGUCCAGACUCCUACGGGAGGCGGCAGUGGGGAAUAUUGGACAAUGGGCGAAAGCCUGAUCCAGCCAUGCCGCGUGUGUGAAGAAGGUCUUCGGAUUGUAAAGCACUUUAAGUUGGGAGGAAGGGCAGUAAGUUAAUACCUUGCUGUUUUGACGUUACCAACAGAAUAAGCACCGGCUAACUUCGUG
RNAcentral lists this ribosomal RNA (484 nucleotides) under uncultured bacterium. Its description in RNAcentral is "partial 16S ribosomal RNA". It matches the Rfam family "Bacterial small subunit ribosomal RNA", at positions 30 to 507 of the family's 1533-position model. The record is from RNAcentral.